UCCCUGGUGGCUCAGCUGGUAAAGAAUCUGCCUGCAAUGCAGGAGACCUGGGUUUGAUCCCUGGUUUGGGAA
This is a non-coding RNA of Bos taurus (domestic cattle), 72 nucleotides long. The record is from Rfam. Lineage: Eukaryota; Metazoa; Chordata; Mammalia; Artiodactyla; Bovidae.